Molecule: ribosomal RNA, 255 nt
Filed under: uncultured bacterium
Lineage: Bacteria
Description: partial 16S ribosomal RNA
Rfam family: Bacterial small subunit ribosomal RNA
Source: RNAcentral
UACGGAGGAGGCAAGCGUUAUCCGGAUUUACUGGGCGUAAAGAGUUGCGUAGGCGGUUUUGUAAGCGAAUAGUGAAAUCAUGUGGCUCAACCAUACUGACUAUUAUUCGAACUGUGAAACUUGAGAGCGAGAGGGGUGAUUGGAAUUCCCGGUGUAGGAGUGAAAUCCGUAGAUAUCGGGAGGAACACCAAUGGCGUAGGCAGAUCACUGGCUCGUUUCUGACGCUAAGGCACGAAAGCGUGGGUAGCAAACGGG